AAGUCGUAACAAGGUUUCCGUAGGUGAACCUGCGGAAGGAUCAUUACAUAACUUAAGUAAGUAGUGCUGCUGGGUGGCCUGGGCUUGCCCUUGCCACACACACACUAUUCACACCAAACCCUUGUGAACCGUAAUUGACACCUUUGGCGCAGCUCAAGGUCAGUCGGCGCAACCCUAAACAGUUGUGCCGCGCUGGCUGCCGCGUCAAACGGUACCAAAACAACUUAAACCAUUUGCACACCUAUAAAGACUUAAUCUAAGAUUUUCAAUAAUUGAAAUACAACUUUUAACAAUGGAUCUCUUGGCUCUU
Molecule: unclassified non-coding RNA, 310 nt
Filed under: fungal sp.
Lineage: Eukaryota; Fungi
Description: partial internal transcribed spacer region
Rfam family: Eukaryotic small subunit ribosomal RNA (bases 1-46)
Source: RNAcentral